This 200-nucleotide unclassified non-coding RNA is filed under the name soil metagenome. RNAcentral describes it as "partial contains internal transcribed spacer 2 and large subunit ribosomal RNA". The record is from RNAcentral.
GUCAUUGCAACCCUCAAGCGCAGCUUGGUGUUGGGCACUUCGCCCCCUCAGGGGGUGGGCCUGAAAGUCAGCGGCGGUUCAGUGAGACUUCAAGCGCAGUAAAUUUUCAUUCGCUUGGGAAGCUUCUCUCUGUGCCUGCCGGAAACUCCAACAUUUCAAUGGUUGACCUCGGAUCAGGUAGGGAUACCCGCUGAACUUAA